This is a long non-coding RNA of Mus caroli (Ryukyu mouse), 255 nucleotides long. RefSeq lists it as uncharacterized. The record is from RefSeq and is a predicted model, not a curated record. Lineage: Eukaryota; Metazoa; Chordata; Mammalia; Rodentia; Muridae.
CACAGACAGGAAUUGCUCUAAAGAACCUUUCUAAACAGCCUCCAGAUUAAACCCAAAACAGAACCACAGAGAUGGACAAAAGACAACAAGGCACCCAAACUUACCGACUGGAAAAACACUCCACUAUUUGGGUCAGGGGUCUCCAGAGAAUCCCAGACAAAUCCCCCAAAUGGUAAGAGGUCAUACACUGCUAUCAGAUGGGGAGCUUCUGCAACCACAGAGGUAAAUGAACAAAGGCAAGGGAAGCCCAGGAUG